This 90-nucleotide transfer RNA is filed under the name Pseudomonadota bacterium. Its description in RNAcentral is "Proteobacteria bacterium (groundwater metagenome) tRNA-Ser". It matches the Rfam family "tRNA". Rfam says of the family: Transfer RNA (tRNA) molecules are approximately 80 nucleotides in length. Lineage: Bacteria; Pseudomonadati; Pseudomonadota. The record is from RNAcentral.
GGAGGGGUGGCAGAGUGGUCGAUCGCGGCGGUCUCGAAAACCGUUAGGCCUGCAAGGGUCUCGGAGGUUCAAAUCCUCUCCCCUCCGCCA